This 468-nucleotide ribosomal RNA is filed under the name uncultured bacterium. RNAcentral's name for it is "partial 16S ribosomal RNA". It matches the Rfam family "Bacterial small subunit ribosomal RNA", at positions 28 to 507 of the family's 1533-position model. The record is from RNAcentral.
GACGAACGCUGGCGGCGUGCUUAACACAUGCAAGUCGAACGGAAAGGCCCUGCUUUUGUGGGGUGCUCGUGUGGCGAACGGGUGAGUAACACGUGAGUAACCUGCCCUUGACUUUGGGAUAACUUCAGGAAACUGGGGCUAAUACCGGAUAGGAUCUCCUGCUGCAUGGUGGGGGUUGGAAAGUUUCGGCGGUUGGGGAUGGACUCGCGGCUUAUCAGCUUGUUUGUGGGGUAGUGGCUUACCAAGGCUUUGACGGGUAGCCGGCCUGAGAGGGUGACCGGCCACAUAGGGACUGAGAUACGGCCCAGACUCCAACGGGAGGCAGCAGUGGGGAAUAUUGCACAAUGGGCGGAAGCCUGAUGCAGCAACGCCGCGUGCGGGAUGACGGCCUUCGGGUUGUAAACCGAUUUCGCAUGUGACGAAGCGUGAGUGACGGUAAUGGGUAAAGAAGCACCGGCUAACUACGUG